CAUGAAAGGUGAAGUAGGGGCCUCUUUCCGACGGGAAGAGUGCCUCGUCGAUCCGGUAGCUCUCGAUCGCUGAGCCCUGAUUUUCAUCAUCUCGAGAGGUUUCUUCAAGCUUCUACGGAGCUCGCUGGCUUACCUCUGUCGAAUCCCCCUACCUGGUGUGCCAAAUCUGUUGCAGCAAAUCCCUCCGUCGCCCGAUCGCCAGUGUCGCACACCUACAAAAAAAGUCCUCACAGAUCGGAGAUGCCUCCGGCGGAGACCCUCUGACGGUCAAGUC
RNAcentral lists this long non-coding RNA (274 nucleotides) under Elaeis guineensis (African oil palm). Its description in RNAcentral is "long non-coding RNA (EGUI_LNC019294)". The record is from RNAcentral. Lineage: Eukaryota; Viridiplantae; Streptophyta; Magnoliopsida; Arecales; Arecaceae.